CUUAUCCCCUGCUAUGUUAAUAGCUUGCUAGACCCUGCAAGAGCCUCCUGUAUGUGAUUAAAGUUCAAUUUAGAGAUUGAGAUACAAUUAUUUAAGGUAAAUUACAUCUGUUUGAAAGUGAAACCAGUUUUUUUUUCAUGCAGGCUCUGUCAUAGCCAGGGGAGGUGUGGCUAGGGCUGCAUAAACAGAAACAAAGUGAUUUAACUCCUAAAUGACAGUGAAUUGAGCAGUGAAAUUGCAGGGGAAUGAUCUAUACACUAAAACUGCUUUAUUUAGCUAAAGUAAUUUAGGUGACUAUAGUGUUC
This is a non-coding RNA of Pelobates cultripes (western spadefoot toad), 305 nucleotides long. NCBI's taxonomy places the organism in Eukaryota, Metazoa, Chordata, Amphibia, Anura, Pelobatidae. The record is from the annotation of a GenBank genome assembly.